GGAAUGUGAUGAGUGGUCAUAUUUCGCAUUUUUGUUUUCUAAACAGAAAUAGCCUGCGAAAUGGGUGUCCGCUCAAUGCCUGGUUACGAUAAAAUUGGGCACUCUAAUUUAUACCAAUCUGAUCCC
Molecule: small nucleolar RNA, 126 nt
Filed under: Zostera marina
Lineage: Eukaryota; Viridiplantae; Streptophyta; Magnoliopsida; Alismatales; Zosteraceae
Description: Small nucleolar RNA Z279/snoR105/snoR108
Rfam family: Small nucleolar RNA Z279/snoR105/snoR108
About the family: This family includes the plant snoRNAs known as Z279, snoR105 and snoR108. All three are members of the C/D class of snoRNA which contain the C (UGAUGA) and D (CUGA) box motifs.
Source: Rfam by way of RNAcentral